GUAGGUGAACCUGCGGAAGGAUCAUUACCGAGUGAGGGCCCUCUGGGUCCAACCUCCCCCCCGUGUUUAUUUUACCUUGUUGCUUCGGCGGGCCCGCCUUUACUGGCCGCCGGGGGGCUCACGCUCCCGGGCCCGCGCCCGCCGAAGACACCCCCGAACUCUGUCUGAAAUUGCAGUCUGAGUGAAAACGAAAUUUUUUAAAACUUUCAACAACGGAUCUCUUGGUUCCGGCAUCGAUGAAGAACGCAGCGAAAUGCGAUACGUAAUGUGAAUUGCAAAUUCAGUGAAUCAUCGAGUCUUUGAAGCACAUUGCGCCCCCUGGUAUUCCGGGGGGCAUGCCUGUCCGAGCGUCAUUGCUGCCCUCAAGCCCGGCUUGUGUGUUGGGCCCCGUCCCCCGAUCCCGGGGGACGGGCCCGAAAGGCAGCGGCGGCACCGCGUCGGUCCUCGAGCGUAUGGGGCUUUGUCACCCGCUCCGUAGGCCCGGCCGGCGCCUGCCGAUCAACCCCAAUUUUUAAUCCAGGUUGACCUCGGAUCAGGUAGGGAUACCCGCUGAACUUAAGCAUAUCAAUAAGCGGAGGAAAAGAAACCAACAGGGAUUG
This 599-nucleotide ribosomal RNA is filed under the name Penicillium digitatum. RNAcentral's name for it is "eukaryotic LSU rRNA". The stretch from base 202 to 353 matches the Rfam family "5.8S ribosomal RNA". Lineage: Eukaryota; Fungi; Ascomycota; Eurotiomycetes; Eurotiales; Aspergillaceae. The record is from RNAcentral.